AAACUUUCAACAACGGAUCUCUUGGUUCUGGCAACGAUGAAGAACGCAGCGAAAUGCGAUAAGUAAUGUGAAUUGCAGAAUUCAGUGAAUCAUCGAAUCUUUGAACGCACAUUGCGCCCCCUGGUAUUCCGGGGGGCACACCUGUCCGAGCGCCAUUU
This 158-nucleotide ribosomal RNA is filed under the name Venturia inaequalis. RNAcentral's name for it is "5.8S ribosomal RNA". It matches the Rfam family "5.8S ribosomal RNA". Rfam says of the family: 5.8S ribosomal RNA (5.8S rRNA) is a component of the large subunit of the eukaryotic ribosome. It is transcribed by RNA polymerase I as part of the 45S precursor that also contains 18S and 28S rRNA. Functionally, it is thought that 5.8S rRNA may be involved in ribosome translocation. RNAcentral also lists the same sequence under 4 other names. Lineage: Eukaryota; Fungi; Ascomycota; Dothideomycetes; Venturiales; Venturiaceae. The record is from RNAcentral.